CCAGGUGUGACAAUGUGCGACGCCGCAUCACAGCAUGACCUCAGAGCUCAAACAGAAGUCCAGAUAAGGAUGUGGCAGCUUGAAUCCCCCUGUGUGUUUCCCAGAGUUCAGUUCCCAGACUGAAAAACCUCUGAGUCAAUGCCUGAGAAUGCAGAGCGGGCAUUGAAAACUACUGCAGUCUGCACAAAAUACCCUCUGUGUGACGAUACAGGCAGAUAAUAUCAACAAAAACAGUUUGAACCAUUCUCGCUGGUUUCGAGAUACAGCACGUACUUUUAAGGGAAUGUACUGGGGAAAACACAAGAUGUGACAUGCUUGAAAGUCAAUGGGAUCCUUUUUUUUCCGGACUGCGUAUAUGGACAAAAACUGUUUAAACACCGUAGAGAAUAUCUUCUUUUGUGUUCUACAGAAGAAACAAAGUCAUGCAGGUUUGAAAUCACAUGGGGGUGAGUAAAUGAUGACAGUAUUUAUUUUUGGGUGAGCUGUCCCUUUAAAUAGAACACAGAUGGAAGUUGAUUGUUUUGUGAGUUUGUGAGCUAAUUAAGUACUAAGAGUUUAUUUUUUUUAUUUGUAUUUUUUUAGGACAUAAAUGGUUUUGGACAUGUACUAUGGUAAAACGCCUGAAACUUUGACACCAUGUCAAGAAGACUAAUGAACUGUGUAGUAUCUCUUUAUGCGUAACGAUGGGUGUCCAUCAAAUUAACGCAAGACUUAACUCCUCUGAACAAAGUACAUCCCUGUCUUUUAAGACAGAAACAGACAACAAGCCCUCACCACCUCCGAGAACGCAGGGUAUGAUGCACUCUAAAAAACGCUGGGUUGUUUUUUUCAACCCAACUGCUGGGUUGAGGCCGUUGGAUAGGACUUUGGGAUGUUUUAACCCAAGUUUGGGUUGAAAAUAAGGUUUAAAAAAAAAAAGUUUAACCCAGCGGGUCUGGGUUGAGGACGCGGACGUGAAGGAGAGCACGCACGUCACGUCAAGAUCGUACGUCUCCAGUGCGAGCAGCCGCCAUUUUCUCAGCGUGAUAGAAGCGAGAAGCGAGUGAAAGACUAUGGUAAGUAAAUAUUUAAAAUGUAAAGUUAUCUUUUAUUGUUUACCAGGUUGUAUGAAAGGCGGAAUGUUUUAUGAAAGGCGGAAACAAAGGAGCUUAACGUUAUAUAUAUAUAUAUAUAUUUAAAAAAAAACGGACGCGGUUUUCGCCUCAGACACGGAGGUCUUAACUGCCUCAUGUAACGGUACUGAACGGAGGAUGUACUUUUAAUAUAACGUCUGUGAAUGUAUUUUGUCAUAUUUACAUAAGAUUUAACAUUAUCUGUACUUUUUGAGGCGUUAACAGACGGUUAUGGUCACGGUUACGCUCAUGUGAAUUUGUCUUUUUUUUUCGCGGUUAAACUGAAUGUAUGUUUGUCUCCUAAAGGAAACGGCAUUGUGUAGUAAAGACUAGCAUAAUUAUUUUGAGGCUGUUGAAGUGGUAACUGUUAAAAGUAUGUUUUACAUGUAAUAUUUCAGACUUGUCAAGCUUGUGUCUUCAUUGUCCUCGCGCUGAGAGUUAAAGACACAGAAGCUGUUUGUGUGAGGAGUCACAGACCUGUGUGAGGAUGAGGAGGAGGUGUUUUUCUGAAGAGAGGGACAGACGGUUUAAGGAGAGUAAACUUCAGAAUAACAUCAAGUUAUCUUUAUUUUUACUAAGACUAAAAUAAUGUUGUUGUUUUUUUUAGAUGUUGCAAUCCAGAGACAAGAUAACUUCAUUCUUUUGAGACUGAUGUAAGUUAAGUUAUUAUUACUUUUUUUUUUUAGAAAAUUAAUGUUUAUGUUGUGUCCUGCCUGUUAACU
This is a long non-coding RNA of Carassius auratus (goldfish), 1834 nucleotides long. The record is from Ensembl. Lineage: Eukaryota; Metazoa; Chordata; Actinopteri; Cypriniformes; Cyprinidae.